Molecule: ribosomal RNA, 254 nt
Filed under: uncultured bacterium
Lineage: Bacteria
Description: partial 16S ribosomal RNA
Rfam family: Bacterial small subunit ribosomal RNA
Source: RNAcentral
UACGUAGGGGGCGAGCGUUGUCCGGAUUUAUUGGGCGUAAAGAGCUCGUAGGCGGCUUGGCAAGUCGGGUGUGAAACCUUCAGGCUCAACCUGGAGACGCCACUCGAUACUGCUAUGGCUAGAGUCCGGUAGGGGACCACGGAAUUCCUGGUGUAGCGGUGAAAUGCGCAGAUAUCAGGAGGAACACCGGUGGCGAAGGCGGUGGUCUGGGCCGGCACUGACGCUGAGGAGCGAAAGCGUGGGUAGCAAACAGG